AGCUGAAUAGUUUAAUUGGUUAAAACAUCGGAUUCAUAAGCCGAAAUUAAGGUUUCGAGUACCUUUUCAGCUA
RNAcentral lists this transfer RNA (73 nucleotides) under Gloeotilopsis planctonica. Its description in RNAcentral is "tRNA-Met". It matches the Rfam family "tRNA". Rfam says of the family: Transfer RNA (tRNA) molecules are approximately 80 nucleotides in length. Their secondary structure includes four short double-helical elements and three loops (D, anti-codon, and T loops). Lineage: Eukaryota; Viridiplantae; Chlorophyta; Ulvophyceae; Ulotrichales; Ulotrichaceae. The record is from RNAcentral.